Molecule: long non-coding RNA, 807 nt
Organism: Hordeum vulgare subsp. vulgare (domesticated barley)
Lineage: Eukaryota; Viridiplantae; Streptophyta; Magnoliopsida; Poales; Poaceae
Exons: 3
Source: RefSeq, a predicted model, not a curated record
CCUCCCACCCUGCCCACAACCUCACGAUCCGCCACCACCACCAAUUCCACUCCCACACACACACAAGAUCCUGGCGGAGAUGCUACUAUGACAACGACAUGAUUCACCGUGAAGCGAUAGCCAGUUCAGAAGCAGAAAAUUAAGGAAGAAACAUGUAAUUUCUAAAGGCGGGCACUAGAACAGAGUUUCAGCGCGACCUGAUAUCAGAUCCGACAUGAUGGCAUCCCUCUCACGAGUCCUUCACAUGCAACCGCCAACUCUUGCACUACAUUGUGGCAUGCUUUUAAUCAUCAUGUUGUCAGCAAUGAUCUUAUGCUUGCGUUGAGAAUGGCCAACAUUGUCCUUCCUAGCGGCAGUUGGUUGUCGUUUUUGGUUCUUGUGGAGCCAUUCAUCACACUCCAAGAGGGGAUGUUGCUGUGAGGGAUCACCUUCUCCAUGGGCGAUCUCCUCAUGCUGGGGGUACAACAAUGGUGGCCCUCGUUGAUCACCUACUAUGUCAUGUAAUUUUCUAUUGUCCCUCUUUCUUCUUUUAGUGUUUGCAUUCUAUAGGAUCAUGCUUUACCAUCAAACCCCAAAUUGGAUGGUCCUUCUUUAACCCUUUGUACACUCAUGUGAUGGUUUUCUUGGGAUACUUAUAGAUCUAGAUUUAUGGCACCAUUAAUUUGAGUUUAUCAAAGUGAAAACCAACAAGGUCUUCCUUAGUGAAGUCCUUUGCUCCCAUUGGUUCGCCAUGUGCUUGGGAAGAAUAAGUACUUCAUCAAGGUGAAGACACAUGAUUUCUGGAGCCAUAACGGCACCAAACCAUUG